Microcebus murinus (gray mouse lemur) is the source of this 133-nucleotide ribosomal RNA. NCBI's taxonomy places the organism in Eukaryota, Metazoa, Chordata, Mammalia, Primates, Cheirogaleidae. The record is from Ensembl.
GCUAGAGCAGAAACUUACCUGCCUACGUACCUGAUCUCAUUUGAUCUCGGAAGCUAAGCAGGGUCAGGCCUGGUUGGUACUUGGAUGGGAGAAAUUCACCUGCCUAGACAUAGAAGAAAAGGUUAUGCUGGGA